GGUUUGCGCAUCUUUGCUGCCCUCACUCUAUUCACCUGUAGGAGAGUAGGGAAAAGGGCAUUAGGAGAUAGGUCUAUUAUUGAUUCCUUUAAUGCAAGACACUUCUUGACCUCGUUAAAACCAACAGAGUAUAUUGCUUUUUGCCAUUCUGCAUAAACAAUAUACAGAAAUUACAAAUACAUAUAUGAAAACACAUUGCUGUCCAUUAGAUAAAAACUAGUGUUAGGAGAUAGGGCUAUUGCUCUACGUUUAGUAGCAAUAGCAUCUGCAACAAGCCGACUACUAUGAGUACAACUGCAACUACAUGAACAAAACGCUGACAAUUUACAGUGCAACUACACCCGUUGUGCCACAAAUGCUCAACAACAUUCUAGUGAUUGCGAGGGAACGGUCCAUUCUAGUGAUCAUUUGAAGAUCCCAGUGCCUAUUUAUGUAUGAUAUCCUGAAUCUAUUUCACGAAAUAUACAAGCACAUACGUUAUAUUUCACAAGUCUGAAUAUGUCAAGAUCUAGCUUGUUUCAACAGGAGUAUAUUUCCCAAGUCUGAAAGCUGCCAAAUCACAUUAUGUUAGAAGCUCACAAAUACAAGUGACCUUCACCGUCAGGAUUAACUAUUUCAUACCACAGAAAUCUUCCAGAUAUGAAUAGUCCGAUCCUCCAGGAGCUCAAGAAUAUACUAUCCUCUCUUUUGAACAAUCCCCUGAAGAAGAAAUGGCAACAUUAAUAGGAAAUGAAUAGAGGUGACUAGAAAUGAAUAGUAGACUCAUUAUUGUUGUCCAAUUUUUUUUAAUAAUUGAUUUAAUAUAUGUGUCCAAGAAAUGCACUGCAGUGGUGCCAUUUUUUGUAUUUGAAUACGCAGGAGAUCUGCAUAUCAUUGCAUUAAGAAGAAGAAAUAUAGAUAGAGUUAUCAAUAGCUACCAAGAUUUAAGUUAUCAACUACAGCCCUAACUUAACCAAGUAAGGAGGAUUAUAAACUUACAAUCAACACAUUAACGCUGCUUAUCAAUAGAAUAAUGAACCAUAAGCCUCAAAGUUCAUCUGACGCUGGUUGGAACUGGUACUAUAUUUUAGUUGAUUGACCCUUGUUACUGCCUUAUUAGUGUUUAUUGGUAAUUGGUGGGUUAUAGUUGGGCACCACACAACCCAUCUAGCAGCGGAACGACCAGCGUAGUAACACACUCCUCCCACCAGCCUCGUUCUUUCCGCUCGCUCAUCUCUCGCUUAAGCUUCCCUGUUUCCUUCCGCCGGCCCCUCCCCUCUCCUCCCCGGCCUAGCCGGUGGCGAGUAGGGCGAGGGGCCCUUCCCUUGUGUAGUCUAGGUGUAGUAGUAGCUGUUCUUGAGUCCUUAAUGGCUGUUUCUGGGUUUUUCUUGCCGGUGAGGGACAUCAGCGAGAUAUGAUUUUCUCCAUGCUCGUGGUUGCUGUCUCUGUGGUUCUUGGCGAUGGCCCUACCACGGUAAAGCCAGGUUGUCCCAGCUCCAAUAACCUUCCCCUUCCAGAUCUUGCUGAACUAGAUCCUUCUGUAUCCUUCGCUUCUUGCCAAGGGGUGAAGAUGGGUUCUAUCUUCUAUGUCAGCAGAUCUGGCUCGUUCCUUUCCUUCCAAUAAAAUCCCCUGCUUCAGAUCCAUUCUUACUUUGCCGGUUUUGCUCCCCACAAAAUCUCCAUGGCCGGCUUUCUUCUUGUGCUUGAAAUCUAGUGCUUGUACAUUAAGGUGUCAUCUGGUUCGAGCAGGAAAGUUGAGAAUCGGUGCAUGUUUUCUCGGCAUGCUCUGGCACCAGUUCUUCCGAUUUGGUGAUGUUUUCCUUUCGGGGCUGUUUGGAUAGCAGCCCCAAGCUGCCCUUCCAAAAUUUUGGUCGUUGACCACAGGUUCGGCAGCGUUUGGAUCGCAGCCAAGUUUUUGGCUCACAGCCAACUUUUUGGCCAGACGUUGUGAUUCUGCACUAGCGCGUGGGCGAGUUCCCGGUGGCUAUUUCCUUCGCCAAAAUUUUGGCACACCGUCGUUUUGGUCGGGCUGGUGUGGGCAUAAUCCAAACGGCCCCUUACAUCUCCAUGCACCAAAUCAAGGCUGUCCUUUACUGGAACCAUUUGCGGUCCCUUCUGCCCUAUCCAGGGGCUAUCUGUUGGUUUCUGGAGCAUGUGCUUCAUCCUAUUUCAUGCCAUCGGCAUAUCCCUUUGCUUCAUCCUUGCCACGGUGGUAGCUGCCUAACCCGCAAGCCAAGAGGGGCCGUUAGAGUGCGUCACAGGCCACUUGCGGUGUUGCCGCCUUGCUGGUGGCAACCGGAGCACCGACCUGUUGUGGCCAGGCCUGCUCCGGUCAGCAGCGGUGACAUGGAAGCCGCUCCGAAGCUCGAAGCCACUCCUGUGCUUCAGACUGACACACGGACUGUCCAUGGGCGGUGGGUGGUGUACGUGUCCCUUCUGGGCCGAAUUGUAAUAUUUAUUUCCAGGUUGCUUCUGAAAUCUGGGACUUCUAUGUUCCUAUACUAUGAUCUGUUUUAAUAUAUGCAGGGGGGGUCCUUUGGGGGCUUACGUUUGUCAGAAAAAAGAUAAUUGCUGGGUUAGUGAGUCAUUAGCAAUAACUGGCAAUUAUUCAAGUCUUAGAAGGAUUUUUUUUUCAGAUUAUGGAACUUUAAGCUGUAGUGGAGCUGCAAGAGAACGUCGAGGACAGGCAAAUUGGACUGCUACUACUUCAGGUACUUUCUCUUCCAGAUCAGCUUGCAAAUCCUUCUUUGAGGGCAGCACCAAGUUUGACCCAAGCCGACACUGGAAAUCUUGGGCUCCUACUAGUGAAGGAAGCACUUCGUUUGGUUGGUUUGCCACAACCGCUGCUGGACUGCUAAUUUCCUUGCACACCGAGGCCUGACUCACCCCUCAAAAUGUCCCCUCUGAUCAGGUGGAGAAAAUUAUUAUUCAUCUGUUGGCUGACUGUGUCUUCACCAAACAGGUUUGGUUGGAGACCCUUCGAUCUGUUGGCCUAGUGCAAUCAGUUCUAGUGAGUCAACACCAUCUAUCCUUCCAAAUUUGGUGGUCUGAAGCAUCACUAUUGAUUGAUUUUCGGCAGCACAAGGGGUUCCACUCCUUGCUCAUGGUGGUUGCAUGGCUCAUUUGGAAACAUCGUAAUGAGUGCGUUUACAAGGGGAGAACUCCUACUGUCUCUCUUCUUGCUCAAGGAAUUCGAGAGGAGGCUGUUCUUUGGUGAUCCGCUAGGGCCAUGGAGUUGGAGUCCCUCUGGUCAUGAGUGCUCUUGGUCUUGUUAAAUUGGGGUCUCAAAAUGUUAAAUUACACUUCUAAACAUGUAUCAGACAAUUCAUUGGGUCUUAGCAUGUACUCCCUCCGUCCGGACAUACUUGUCCGAGGAAUGGAUGUAUCUACAUGUAUUUUAGCUUUAGAUGCAUCCAUUUGUAUCCAUUUUCGCGACAAGUAUUUUCGGACGGAGGGAGUAGACCCAAAAGGUUGAGUUAUCAUUCCUAAACAGGCAAUCUAGGACUAUGGCUAUGUUGGACAAUCCAUGCAUAUUUGUAUACGUAUGUGUCUCCUGAGCCACAUUUGGGCUCAACACUCAACUUGGCCUGGAUGAUGAGUUGAGAGCUCUGAAAUCCCACUAGGUCAACAGUUUUGGAUGCUCUCCAUUUUAUCCACAGCAGCUGGUUAACUUCUAGCCUUAAUUUUGCAUUUUCUCUAUACUUCCUCAAUUGUAUUGUAUAUAUAUUCUCAGCACUGGGUCAUAAGUCGCAACCAGAUGAGAAAUGCAAAUGUUACAGAAAAAACACAAUGAUAAUAUUGGCAUACAGUUCUCUAUUUGCCUGUCAAGAAAUGUAACAUACUAUUUCCCUUUAAACAAGGGUUCUACGUUGUGCUCAUUGUUUAUAUCCUAUAAGCAGAGAAUUCCCAAAAUCAUUUCAUGUCUACUAUAUAGAGUACAAGGCAAAAGGACGGCAUUGCACAGUAGAGGAAAAUUCUUUUCCCAAACUUCUGGUGAUAUCAUGAGCAGCAUGUUUCAAGGCAUGAAAUGUGAGAAAUUCAGUAUAUGGUCUUAAAUUAAAAUCUAUAAACUCAACAAAGCAGCAAUAAAGUCAUUGGUCAUGAUCUAGAAACUUAAACAAGCAGCGGCGACAGUAGCAAUCUUUUGGAAAAGAAAGGAACACAUAAUUGCAGGUUGCAGCAGCACAAAAUGCAACAUGAGUCAAUACAAAAUAGUAAAGUUAAAGAAUAGAACUAAUGAUAUCUUUAACAUAAUUCAAUAUUUCAAAAGUAGUAUAGAUUCCUAACAUAGUAACAUUAUCAUUGAUGUAUGCAUGAUGAGCUCGUCAUUAUCACGAAGAUCCUCACACAUUACUUAAUCACAGACCAAGCAUAGUCACUAACUAAAAUAUUUUAUUCCUUGUUUCAUCUAUAAAUAACUACUAGAAGAGGAUCAUAGGGUGCAUACCUCACCAAAAUCUAACUCAUCCCCCUUAAGAAGUCGCUAAAAUCUACAAACCCCGAGGGAAGUAUACUGAUGUCCAGCACAACCCUCUCUUCAUCCCUUCAGGAAUUCAUCCCUGACAGUUUGUUCCCUGCAUGUUUUCCCUAACUUAUUUGCCAGCACGAGAAGACCGCUUGGAUACCUGAUUUAGCAAAUAUGAAGUAUCAUAACUUCUUUGGCACAAUGUUCAAGUAGCACAGCAUAAUAAUAGUAUGGUUUCCUAGUAUCACUUUCAAGAAUUAAUAUUGGAAAAUAUGUUAAG
Molecule: long non-coding RNA, 4724 nt
Filed under: Triticum aestivum (bread wheat)
Lineage: Eukaryota; Viridiplantae; Streptophyta; Magnoliopsida; Poales; Poaceae
Description: long non-coding RNA (TAES_LNC024911)
Rfam family: MIR1120/MIR1122 microRNA precursor family (bases 3319-3443)
Source: RNAcentral